UACGUAGGGGGCUAGCGUUGUCCGGAAUCAUUGGGCGUAAAGCGCGUGUAGGCGGUCCGGUAAGUCCGCUGUGAAAGUCGAGGGCUCAACCCUCGAAUGCCGGUGGAUACUGUCGGGCUAGAGUGCGGAAGAGGCGAGUGGAAUUCCUGGUGUAGCGGUGAAAUGCGCAGAUAUCAGGAGGAACACCGGUGGCGAAGGCGGGUCUCUGGGCCGAUACUGACGCUGAGGAGCGAAAGCGUGGGGAGCGAACAGG
RNAcentral lists this ribosomal RNA (253 nucleotides) under uncultured bacterium. RNAcentral's name for it is "partial 16S ribosomal RNA". It matches the Rfam family "Bacterial small subunit ribosomal RNA", at positions 524 to 776 of the family's 1533-position model. The record is from RNAcentral.